UUUUCUUUCCCUACGCACUUA
RNAcentral lists this non-coding RNA (21 nucleotides) under Caenorhabditis elegans. Lineage: Eukaryota; Metazoa; Nematoda; Chromadorea; Rhabditida; Rhabditidae. The record is from RNAcentral.